ACGCUCGACACCUACGGGAAGCAGCAGUGGGGAAUAUUGCACAAUGGGGGAAACCCUGAUGCAGCGACGCCGCGUGAAGGAAGAAGUAUUUCGGUAUGUAAACUUCUAUCAGCAGGGAAGAAGAAAGUGACGGUACCUGACUAAGAAGCCCCGGCUAACUACGUGCCUGCAGCCGCGGUAAUCUGAGCGGGCUGGCAAGGC
Molecule: ribosomal RNA, 201 nt
Filed under: uncultured bacterium
Lineage: Bacteria
Description: partial 16S ribosomal RNA
Rfam family: Bacterial small subunit ribosomal RNA
Source: RNAcentral